This 567-nucleotide ribosomal RNA is filed under the name uncultured bacterium. Its description in RNAcentral is "bacterial SSU rRNA". It matches the Rfam family "Bacterial small subunit ribosomal RNA", at positions 338 to 916 of the family's 1533-position model. The record is from RNAcentral.
CCUACGGGAGGCAGCAGUGGGGAAUAUUGGGCAAUGGAGGAAACUCUGACCCAGCGACGCCGCGUGCGGGAUGAAGGCCUUCGGGUUGUAAACCGCUUUCAGUAGGGAAGAAGCGAAAGUGACGGUACCUACAAAAGAAGCACCGGCUAACUAUGUGCCAGCAGCCGCGGUAAUACAUAGGGUGCAAGCGUUGUCCGGAAUUAUUGGGCGUAAAGAGCUCGUAGGUCGUUUGUUACGUCGGAUGUGAAAACCUGAGGCUCAACCUCAGGCCUGCAUUCGAUACGGGCAAACUAGAGUUUGGUAGGGGAGACUGGAAUUCCUGGUGUAGCGGUGGAAUGCGCAGAUAUCAGGAGGAACACCAAUGGCGAAGGCAGGUCUCUGGGCCAAUACUGACACUGAGGGGCGAAAGUCUGGGGAGCGAACAGGAUUAGAUACCCUGGUAGUCCAGACCGUAAACGGUGGGCACUAGUUGUGGGAACCUUCCACGGUUUCUGCGACGCAGCUAACGCAUUAAGUGCCCCGCCUGGGGAGUACGAUCGCAAGAUUAAAACUCAAAGGAAUUGACGG